RNAcentral lists this transfer RNA (73 nucleotides) under Felis catus (domestic cat). It matches the Rfam family "tRNA". From Rfam's summary of the family: Transfer RNA (tRNA) molecules are approximately 80 nucleotides in length. Their secondary structure includes four short double-helical elements and three loops (D, anti-codon, and T loops). Lineage: Eukaryota; Metazoa; Chordata; Mammalia; Carnivora; Felidae. The record is from Rfam by way of RNAcentral. RNAcentral also lists the same sequence under 2 other names.
GCCUGGCUGGCUCAGUCGGUAGAGCACCCAACUCUUGAUCUCAGGGUUGUGGGUUUGAGCCCCAUGCUGGGUG